UACGGGGGGGGCAAGCGUUGUUCGGAAUUACUGGGCGUAAAGGGCUCGUAGGUGGCCAACUAAGUCAGACGUGAAAUCCCUCGGCUUAACCGGGGAACUGCGUCUGAUACUGGAUGGCUUGAGUUCGGGAGAGGGAUGCGGAAUUCCAGGUGUAGCGGUGAAAUGCGUAGAUAUCUGGAGGAACACCGGUGGCGAAGGCGGCAUCCUGGACCGACACUGACACUGAUGCGCGACAGCAUGGGGAGCAAACAGG
RNAcentral lists this ribosomal RNA (253 nucleotides) under uncultured bacterium. RNAcentral describes it as "partial 16S ribosomal RNA". It matches the Rfam family "Bacterial small subunit ribosomal RNA", at positions 524 to 776 of the family's 1533-position model. The record is from RNAcentral.